Long non-coding RNA from Oxyura jamaicensis (ruddy duck), 139 nucleotides. RefSeq lists it as uncharacterized. The transcript is spliced from 4 exons. NCBI's taxonomy places the organism in Eukaryota, Metazoa, Chordata, Aves, Anseriformes, Anatidae. The record is from RefSeq and is a predicted model, not a curated record.
AUUUUUAAAAAAAAACAAUGGGGUUACUAUCAUUAGUUCACGGAAUCUGAACCCUCUCCCGGACGCAUGUGUAUCAGUCUCUGGUGGUCUCUCUGGGGGUUGCUCAUGCUGAAGGCUCAUAGUCUUCCUCCCAGGCUUU